GACGUAGGGGACGAGCGUUGUCCGGAUUUAUUGGGCGUAAAGCGCGCGCAGGCGGCCACGUAAGUCGGAUGUGAAAUCCCGGGGCUCAACCCCGGAACUGCAUUCGAUACUGCGUGGCUCGAGGUAGGUAGGGGAGAUCGGAAUUCCUGGUGUAGCGGUGGAAUGCGCAGAUAUCAGGAGGAACACCGGUGGCGAAGGCGGAUCUCUGGGCCUUACCUGACGCUCAGGCGCGAAAGCUAGGGGAGCGAACAGGAUUAGAUACCCUGGUAGUCCUAGCCGUAAACGUUGGGUGCUAGGUGUGGGUGGAUAUCAACCCCAUCCGUGCCGAAGCUAACGCAUUAAGCACCCCGCCUGGGGAGUACGGCCGCAAGGCUAAA
Molecule: ribosomal RNA, 377 nt
Filed under: uncultured bacterium
Lineage: Bacteria
Description: bacterial SSU rRNA
Rfam family: Bacterial small subunit ribosomal RNA
Source: RNAcentral